UGGGAACGCGAAGAACCUUACCUAGACUUGACAUCUCCUGAAUUACCCUUAAUCGGGGAAGCCCUUCGGAGCAGGAAGACAGGUGGUGCAUGGUUGUCGUCAGCUCGUGUCGUGAGAUGUUGGGUUAAUCCCGCAACGAGCGUAACCCUUAUUGUUAGUUGCUACCAUUUAGUUGAGCACUCUAGCGAGACUGCCCGGGUUAACCGGGAGGAAGGUGGGGAUGACGUCAAAUCAUCAUGCCCCUUAUGUCUAGGGCUACACACGUGCUACAAUGGCUGGUACAGAGAGAUGCUAAACCGUGAGGUGGAGCCAAACUUUAAAACCAGUCUCAGUUCGGAUUGUAGGCUGAAACUCGCCUACAUGAAGCUGGAGUUGCUAGUAAUCGCGAAUCAGAAUGUCGCGGUGAAUACGUUCCCGGGUCUUGUACACACCG
RNAcentral lists this ribosomal RNA (433 nucleotides) under uncultured bacterium. RNAcentral's name for it is "bacterial SSU rRNA". It matches the Rfam family "Bacterial small subunit ribosomal RNA", at positions 954 to 1392 of the family's 1533-position model. The record is from RNAcentral.